CUGCGGCAGCGACGCUUAUGCGUUGUUGGGUAGGGGAGCGUUCUGUAAGCCUGUGAAGGUGUGUCGUGAGGCAUGCUGGAGGUAUCAGAAGUGCGAAUGCUGACAUAAGUAACGAUAAAGCGGGUGAAAAGCCCGCUCGCCGGAAGACCAAGGGUUCCUGUCCAACGUUAAUCGGGGCAGGGUGAGUCGACCCCUAAGGCGAGGCCGAAAGGCGUAGUCGAUGGGAAACGGGUUAAUAUUCCCGUACUUGGUGUUACUGCGAAGGGGGGACGGAGAAGGCUAUGUUGGCCGGGCGACGGUUGUCCCGGUUUAAGCGUGUAGGUGUGUGUUCCAGGUAAAUCCGGUUCACUUUAACACUGAGGCGUGAUGACGAGGCACUACGGUGCUGAAGUAACAAAUGCCCUGCUUCCAGGAAAAGCCUCUAAGCAUCAGGUAACAUCAAAUCGUACCCCAAACCGACACAGGUGGUCAGGUAGAGAAUACCAAGGCGCUUGAGAGAACUCGGGUGAAGGAACUAGGCAAAAUGGUGCCGUAACUUCGGGAGAAGGCACGCUGACACGUAGGUGAAGUGAUUUACUCACGGAGCUGAAGUCAGUCGAAGAUACCAGCUGGCUGCAACUGUUUAUUAAAAACACAGCACUGUGCAAACACGAAAGUGGACGUAUACGGUGUGACGCCUGCCCGGUGCCGGAAGGUUAAUUGAUGGGGUCAGCGCAAGCGAAGCUCCUGAUCGAAGCCCCGGUAAACGGCGGCCGUAACUAUAACGGUCCUAAGGUAGCGAAAUUCCUUGUCGGGUAAGUUCCGACCUGCACGAAUGGCGUAAUGAUGGCCAGGCUGUCUCCACCCGAGACUCAGUGAAAUUGAACUCGCUGUGAAGAUGCAGUGUACCCGCGGCAAGACGGAAAGACCCCGUGAACCUUUACUAUAGCUUGACACUGAACAUUGAGCCUUGAUGUGUAGGAUAGGUGGGAGGCUUUGAAGUGUGGACGCCAGUCUGCAUGGAGCCGACCUUGAAAUACCACCCUUUAAUGUUUGAUGUUCUAACGUGGACCCGUUACCCGGGUUGCGGACAGUGUCUGGUGGGUAGUUUGACUGGGGCGGUCUCCUCCUAAAGAGUAACGGAGGAGCACGAAGGUUGGCUAAUCCUGGUCGGACAUCAGGAGGUUAGUGCAAUGGCAUAAGCCAGCUUGACUGCGAGCGUGACGGCGCGAGCAGGUGCGAAAGCAGGUCAUAGUGAUCCGGUGGUUCUGAAUGGAAGGGCCAUCGCUCAACGGAUAAAAGGUACUCCGGGGAUAACAGGCUGAUACCGCCCAAGAGUUCAUAUCGACGGCGGUGUUUGGCACCUCGAUGUCGGCUCAUCACAUCCUGGGGCUGAAGUAGGUCCCAAGGGUAUGGCUGUUCGCCAUUUAAAGUGGUACGCGAGCUGGGUUUAGAACGUCGUGAGACAGUUCGGUCCCUAUCUGCCGUGGGCGCUGGAGAACUGAGGGGGGCUGCUCCUAGUACGAGAGGACCGGAGUGGACGCAUCACUGGUGUUCGGGUUGUCAUGCCAAUGGCACUGCCCGGUAGCUAAAUGCGGAAGAGAUAAGUGCUGAAAGCAUCUAAGCACGAAACUUGCCCCGAGAUGAGUUCUCCCUGAGACUUUAGGUCUCCUGAAGGAACGUUGAAGACGACGACGUUGAUAGGCCGGGUGUGUAAGCGCAGCGAUGCGUUGAGCUAACCGGUACUAAUGAACCGUGAGGCUUAACCUUACAACGCCGAAG
This 1761-nucleotide ribosomal RNA is filed under the name Salmonella enterica. RNAcentral describes it as "partial 23S ribosomal RNA". It matches the Rfam family "Bacterial large subunit ribosomal RNA", at positions 1200 to 2925 of the family's 2925-position model. The record is from RNAcentral. Lineage: Bacteria; Pseudomonadati; Pseudomonadota; Gammaproteobacteria; Enterobacterales; Enterobacteriaceae.